RNA transcript from Rosa rugosa (rugosa rose), 2729 nucleotides. RefSeq lists it as uncharacterized. The transcript is spliced from 11 exons. The record is from RefSeq and is a predicted model, not a curated record. Lineage: Eukaryota; Viridiplantae; Streptophyta; Magnoliopsida; Rosales; Rosaceae.
UCGCUUUUACCCCUGCCUGUCCAGAGUUUUACUGAAUUGGGCAAAGUUGUGUCUCUGUUGCGCCAUCUAGCCAUUUGUUUGGUUGCCACCACAUCGAUCUGCCGCCCAGUUUUCACAGUUGAUCGAUAGACACGGAGAGAGAGAGAGGGUUUAAUUGAUCCAUAGAAUUAAAGAGAGGGUGCGGAGUUUGCAUGUGGAUUGGAGAUUUGAGCAUUUUUGGCGCAGAGAUUUUGGUUGUUUCUUGCGAAGUUGGGUUUUGAUCAAGCAGCACAGAUAAUCAGUUCGGGGGUAAAUUCAGCUGUUAUUGCCGUUCGAGUUUGGCAUAUCUGCAUAUGGCUUACUCAACCGGUCUGAUAGAUGUAGAAAGGGUCGGGAUUAUCUUCCAAUGGAUAAACGAUAUCCUAGGCUCUUUAUACCCUCAGAAUUCUGCAAGGUUGUGGUAACUGGGAGUGUAGCUGCAGAUGGGAUAUGCAAGUUACCCUCAAAAGAGCACUGGUGGUAUAAGCAUUCACAGUGAGGAAGAGGAAAGGUGUAAAUGUAGGAUUGACUUGGUCAUCAAUGGCAACGAUGGCAUCAAAGUUGCGUCAGUUGCAGUCUAAGACUUGCCAAGCAACUCAAUUUGUGUCCCGAGCGGCCUAGCAUGGAACUACCUACUACAAGCAGUUGUUAGAGCAGAACAAGCAAUACAUUCAAGAGCCAGAAAUUGUGGAGAAACGCAUCGAGCUGAGCGAUUGUUUUAUACUCAACUUGAUAGUGAAACUAUCACCUAGCAGAAUAGUUCAAUCAUAUUCAAUUCGAUGGAAUUGUUUGAUUAAGUUCACUUUCAAUUUGAUGACCAAACACAUCAUGAGCUUGGAUCCUAGAGCACCAUAGACGACUGAAGGGUGUGGUCCAUUGAAUUUACCAGGAACAACUUAUAGAAAAGCCUUACAGUCUCGAUCAACCAUUCUGAAGUUCAUUGGGCGCAAAAUGGAAGAGAGGGUGAAGGAUGGAACUGAAAACAUCUUGGAGUGGUUUUGAAGCAUUCAAAUCUUUCAAAGGAGCAAAUUCUUGACUUGAUAUUGACCUUGCUCUUUGCCGGUCGUCAAACUAAUUCAGUAUCCAUAGCUUAGACAUAUAUUUCUUGCCUGGCUGUCCUAAUGCAAUUGAAGACUUGAGGGAAGAGCACAUUGAAAUUGCCAAAGCCACAAGAAAGUAGGAGAGACAGAGUUGUGCUCAUCUGAGGAAGAGCUUGAUGCUCGAAUCAAAGGCUUGCAGUAUGUCAUACAAAAUGAGACGAUGAGAGCAUUCCGUUUAGAAAAUCCUUAGAGAUCAAACUUAUAAACACACGUGGAGAAGUCAUUGCAAAUGCAGCUGUACAAGCCAAGAUUCAGGAAUCAGUGGUUCAUAUAGACAAAGAGGCCCUUAAUUACUCUUUAUCUUUUUGUUGUACUUUUUUUUUUCAAUAAGUUUUUAAGCUAACGGCAAAAACAACCAAGUCCUUACCGUAAAUCCAGAGGUUGGAUACUCAAUGAAAAAAAAAAAAAAAAAAAAAAAAAAACCUGCAGCAUCGCGCGGGCAACAUUACUAGUUACUUCAAAACGCCUACAAAUGCUUUUUCUUUUUGUUAGGUCCAUUUAAGCCAUGCAAUUUUGACUAUAGUUCCAUGCACGCCAUGUGACAUCCACAUACAUCUAUAUGACUAUUGAAACAGAACCACUGGUAGUGCUUAUGCAAUGAAUGCCUAAUUUCAACACUAUUUAUACCACAUUAGAUUUUGUUCUAAUGCAAACACAUCAUCUGCUAUUGUUCGAUUUCUAGCUAUUUAGCUGCGACAGAGUACAAAAAUGGUCUUCAGAAGUCAGAACUCUGCUCUUCCUCUUCUUUGCCAGUCUCUUAGUUACUACAAAGGUUUCAGGAUAAGUUUGAGAACGAAAAGGCCAAGAAGCUGAAGGUACAUUUUCAUGUAUAUGAUCGUAUAUAACUUUAAAUUAGGGUUGGUGAUACUACAUGAGUUACUCGGAGGCGAGGCUUGGGGAUUCCUAGUAUCAUGUGUUCUCUGAUUUUGAAGGGCGGCAGUCCGAGGCGGUGGUUCAGAGUGGUUGAUUGGGUGGUUAUUGAGCGGUCACUGUGAUUCACCUGUGCUGGUGUAAUAGGUGCAGGUUUGUGGUCUCGGUGGGUUUGGCAGAAUGGCAAGGACAAAAUUGGAUUACUGUUGUUGAUUUGGAUCUGGCCUAAAUUUCCGGUGCUCGCUGUUCAUGGUCUAAUGUCGACUCUUUCAUGAAGAGAGGUGGUUCGCGACCGCUUCUCUUUUUAUGGUUUAAUUUUGGUUUUUAAGUUUUGUUUAGGGUUCAUAAGUCCCUACUCUUUAGAGCUAGGGUUAUUUGGUUAAUUAGGUCUAGUGGUUGUGCCAUUGUUAUGGUGUCAUCUCCAGGGACUAGUUGUUUUUCUAAUUUCGAUGUUUUCUUGUUGUCAAUGUAAUGGGGAGAUGCCUCUACAAGUAUACUGGUGGUUUUAGUAUAUGGUGUCGGACGGAGCUACUUUCUUCUUGAGGUUGGCUGUAAGGAUGUAUCAACACUUCUAGGGUAGGUUGUUUGUCUGUAGGUUACAGUUGAGCCUUUAUCGGUUCAUGGUGUCUAUAAUCGAUGGUUCUAUAUUCGGGGUAUGAGUGAGUCCUCUCCUUUACUUGGAGUAGUUGGGAUUUACAGUGUCAUUCCCAUUUUUGUAAUUUGUUGGAUUAAUAAAUUGUC